AGGGAAGGUUAUCAUGCAGUCGAACGGACUCAUAUUGAAACCUAGUGAUGUAUGAGUUAGUGGCGGACGGGUGAGUAACGCGUGGAGAACCUGCCGUAUACUGGGGGAUAACACUUAGAAAUAGGUGCUAAUACCGCAUAAGCGCACAACUUCGCAUGAAGCAGUGUGAAAAACUCUGGUGGUAUACGAUGGAUCCGCGUCUGAUUAGCUAGUUGGCGGGGUAAAGGCCCACCAAGGCGACGAUCAGUAGCCGGCCUGAGAGGGUGAACGGCCACAUUGGGACUGAGACACGGCCCAAACUCCUACGGGAGGCAGCAGUGGGGAAUAUUGCACAAUGGGGGAAACCCUGAUGCAGCGACGCCGCGUGAGUGAAGAAGUAUUUCGGUACGUAAAGCUCUAUCAGCAGGGAAGAAAAUGACGGUACCUGACUAAGAAGCCCCGGCUAACUACGUGCCAGCAGCCGCGGUAAUACGUAGGGGGCAAGCGUUAUCCGGAUUUACUGGGUGUAAAGGGAGCGUAGACGGCAGCGCAAGUCUGGAGUGAAAUCCCAUGGCUUAACCAUGGAACUGCUUUGGAAACUGUGCAGCUAGAGUGCAGGAGAGGUAAGCGGAAUUCCUAGUGUAGCGGUGAAAUGCGUAGAUAUUAGGAGGAACACCAGUGGCGAAGGCGGCUUACUGGACUGUAACUGACGUUGAGGCUCGAAAGCGUGGGGAGCAAACAGGAUUAGAUACCCUGGUAGUCCACGCUGUAAACGAUGAUUACUAGGUGUUGGGGGACCAAGGUCCUUCGGUGCCGGCGCA
RNAcentral lists this ribosomal RNA (800 nucleotides) under uncultured bacterium. RNAcentral's name for it is "bacterial SSU rRNA". It matches the Rfam family "Bacterial small subunit ribosomal RNA", at positions 43 to 853 of the family's 1533-position model. The record is from RNAcentral.